Molecule: long non-coding RNA, 297 nt
Filed under: Malus domestica (apple)
Lineage: Eukaryota; Viridiplantae; Streptophyta; Magnoliopsida; Rosales; Rosaceae
Description: long non-coding RNA (MDOM_LNC015508)
Source: RNAcentral
AGAAAGCGAUUUUCUAGAGUUAUUAAGCAUGUUUAGAUAUGAUCUCAUGAAUGGAAUGCUACUACUUAGAUGCAAGAACCAGUGACACCAUAUGCUCAUACCAAUUCCAAACUCCACAUAUUGAAACGCAUGACACUCAAGAUGAAGUUAGGGGUUGUAACAGGGUUUAAGGGUAAUGGCUAACAAAGAAAGGAUAAGGAUAACAAACGUUCUGAAAGCAAUAGCAAGCAAAGUAAUGAAAUAGACGCUUGGAAUUCACUUAAUAAUGCAGAAAUUAACUUUUAAACACAAAGGGAA